This 480-nucleotide ribosomal RNA is filed under the name Aquanirmus sp. KY-2002. RNAcentral's name for it is "partial 16S ribosomal RNA". It matches the Rfam family "Bacterial large subunit ribosomal RNA", at positions 1816 to 2596 of the family's 2925-position model. The record is from RNAcentral. Lineage: Eukaryota; Metazoa; Arthropoda; Insecta; Psocodea; Philopteridae.
UGCCUUUUUUAAAAAUAUAAGGUCAGACCUGCUCAAUGCUUAAAGUAAAUAGCUGCGGUAACUUGACCGUACUAAGGUAGCAUAAUAAUUAGUCUUUUAAUUGGAGACUGGAAUGAACGGUUUAACGAAAAAAUGACUGUCUCUAAAUAAAUAAAUGAAAUUAAUCUAUAAGUUAAAAAGCUUAUAUUUUCUGGAGGGACGAGAAGACCCUAUAGAUCUUGAUCUUAAUUUUCUUAAUAAAAGAUAAAUUAAGAUUUUCUUGGGAUGAGACUCAUAAAGAAACUAUAGUAAAAAAAAAGAUAGAUUAAUCAAAUUUUAAUGAAACUAAAAAAGGAAAAAAGAAAAGUUACCUUAGGGAUAACAGCAUAAUUUGACUAUUAAGAACUUAUUAAUAGUAAAGUUUAUGACCUCGAUGUUGAAUUAAGUUUCCCUAUAAAAUGAAGAGAUUUUAAAAGUUGGUCUGUUCGACCAUUAAAAACU